AUUGAACGCUGGCGGCAUGCCUUACACAUGCAAGUCGAACGGCAGCACGGGUGCUUGCACCUGGUGGCGAGUGGCGAACGGGUGAGUAAUACAUCGGAACAUGUCCUGUAGUGGGGGAUAGCCCGGCGAAAGCCGGAUUAAUACCGCAUACGAUCUACGGAUGAAAGCGGGGGACCUUCGGGCCUCGCGCUAUAGGGGUGGCCGAUGGCUGAUUAGCUAGUUGGUGGGGUAAAGGCCGACCAAGGAGAAGAUCAGUAGGUGGUCUGAGAGGACGACCAGCCACACUGGGACUGAGACACGGCCCAGACUCCUACGGGAGGCAGCAGUGGGGAAUUUUGGACAAUGGGCGAAAGCCUGAUCCAGCAAUGCCGCGUGUGUGAAGAAGGCCUUCGGGUUGUAAAGCACUUUUGUCCGGAAAGAAAUCCUUGAUUCUAAUACAGUCGGGGGAUGACGGUACCGGAAGAAUAAGCACCGGCUAACUACGUGCCAGCAGCCGCAGUAA
Molecule: ribosomal RNA, 502 nt
Filed under: uncultured bacterium
Lineage: Bacteria
Description: partial 16S ribosomal RNA
Rfam family: Bacterial small subunit ribosomal RNA
Source: RNAcentral